This 4534-nucleotide long non-coding RNA is filed under the name Ananas comosus (pineapple). Its description in RNAcentral is "long non-coding RNA (ACOM_LNC024199)". Lineage: Eukaryota; Viridiplantae; Streptophyta; Magnoliopsida; Poales; Bromeliaceae. The record is from RNAcentral.
UGUCUAUGUUGCCUUCUUGAGCAUAUCUGUAUAUAAGUAAAAUAAUAUUAUGCAUUAUAGGGUUAAUGGUAUUAUAUGUUUAUGAAAUGAAUAAUUGGGCAAAUCUCAUUGUUAAGAACAUGUGAACCAUAGAGUGUGGACCAAGAACCCUAUGAAUGUGUGAAUUUUACUGUGGACUAUGACAAUAGUAAACUUGGUGACAUUAUGACUAGAAGCAUUGGUUAGCAUCAAUAUUGGAACUGUAAAACUAGUAUAAAGAGCUAGUUAGAAAUUAAAUUGUGGCAUCGUCAGUUAUUGAAUCCUCUAAGGGAGGAUUGGAUCAUACUCACCUAUUCAGUUUUGGCUUGGCGGUGGUCGCUCCCCCCAAGCAGUGCACUCCGGAGUGUGUCAUUAAAUGGGUUGAUCGUAUGAGUGUAGUACUCUGAACUUUGACAAAUUGCGAAGUUCGAAUGUUAGAAUUAUAAUUGGAACUAUUCUACAGCUUUUAGAGGAUUGUCAAGAGGUUUCAGUAAAUUACGGGAGCAAGUAGAUAGUUGGAUGUGGAAAAGUGCAUUGUAAAAUGCACUUUCUAAAUGUAUUACCCCAAGGUUGGUCAAUUAUGAAGUUUGAUGAGUGGGAUUGGUAGUGGGAGCCAAUCCACAUCUUUUAAAGAGUUGUAGUAAGGUUCUUAACAAGUUAAAGGGGUGAUCGAACAGCUCGAAAAUCGAAAGUGCAUUGAAAUUUCGAAUUGCAGGAUUUUGCAUUGUGUACCAGUACAGACUCAAUGUUGUACCGGUACACUUCGCAGCAGCUGCGUGGCUGAGGUGAUUUUGGUCAUUUCACCUCUUGAGCUUAUCCCUUAUCAGCUCAGCCCGAGCCCCAGCCUGUUCUUAUCAUGUUGGAGGCAGGGAACAGGGUAAGAACCAUUUCUCUCUUUCUCUCUCUAGAUUUUUUUCCAUUUUGAGGUGGAAAAGGGGAUUUGAGCCUAUUUCUUUCUCCUCUUUUGUGUGCGCUGGUUUGAGAGGCAUGGAGCAGCUGUGGAAAGGUGGAGGAAGGAUUUUUGGAGGUAAUUUACAGCCCUAACCCAGCUUGUAGCUGAAUGGAAGUUAGGUGAGAUGAACUACUCAAUUUUCUCUCUAGUUUUAAGCUAUACUAGGGAAGUGGAACCUGAACUUGGUUUGUUUGUCCCCAGCUGAAUUGGGAAGGUUUAAAGCAGCCUUAGAGGAAUUGUUUUGCUGUGAGGUUGCAACCUGGAACCAGGGACAAGCUGAAAUGAUGUUUGAAAGGUGAUUAACUAGCUAUUUCUCUACCUUAAUGCUGAAAAUAGUGAUGUUAGUGGUAAUUUGGGGCUGUUUUGGAUUAUUACUCGCAGCAGGAUAAGAAAGUUUUGUAGCUAAGCCCUGGGUGACUCUUGCAGCUGGUUUUGCAUUGGUUUUGCAAUUCGAAGCCAAAAGGAAAGCUCAAUUGAAGUUGUGGGUAAGUAUGCUAUCUAGUAGCUCUUGGAUUAGAGGUAUUAGUUAUAACUUUAGUGCAGUUUUGAGUUAUGAUCACAGCUGGUUUGCAGCAGGGAUAAUACUCCCUUCGAGUUGAAUUUAGAUGACCAUUGUGAGCUGGAUUUGGAGUGCUUCACCCUGUGUGAAGUGAAGGUUAAACUUUGGUUUAAAUCUAGGUAAGAUUCUAGCUUAAACUAUGUAAAUAUGAGAGAUUUACAUAUAGAGAUUAAAGUUGAACCCCUAGCUGAAUUUGAACUAUUGUUUGAGUGCUUAGAGGCUUCGGAUCACUGCGAAUGGAAUUUUAGUGAUUCUGAAAGAUUGGUUAUGAAGUGCUUCAAUUUGGUAUAAAGGAAAGUUCAUGAGCGAAUUCUAAACUAGGUAUGAAUCUACCUAGAUUGGAUGCAUAUAUAAGAUUUCUAGUAAAAAGUGAAGUUCAACUUCUAAUUGAAUUAGUAUAUGUACCAAGAUACUUGGAAGCUAAAGAAUAUCUUUGCUUGCAGGAUCGACGAGAGCCAACAGCGAUUAGGUGGGUCGGACCUUCCCGAAAUGGGUGAAUUUCCCCUAUGUCUCCUUUGAUAUUAUGAGUGAAUAUGUUAUACGCUUAUGUGAACCUAUGUGUAUUUGGAGGAAUUAAGACUCGCAUUCAUGUGUAUAUCAUAUUGGUUAUAAUAGCAUCUCUACGCAGUAGAGAAGGAAUUACGAAAUUGCCUAUUCCUCAUAGAUCAUCUAGCUUUACUGGACAAUAAGGGAAUUAUGUACUAGGGAGGAAAUCAUGCUAAUCUAUGUUCUAAACAUCGUGCUUGAACUUUUAGUCUAUUUUAUAUACUGAGGUUAUUCAUACAUUCAUAUAGAAUCAUACAAAUGUAUAUUGAAUAAUGUUUCACAUAUUUGUGCUAACCAGUAGGUUAUUGUUUCCAAGUGAUAACAUUAGCAUGAGUUUCAUGUCUGAAUAUGAUCUAGUUCAGCAAUCAGAACUGGAUCUUUUGAUAUAGCGUGAAUAUACAUUGUUGAAAAUAAGCUAGUGGAAUGACUAGCAUACUUAUGAGGAAUACUGGUACAAUCAAGCAGAAGUACUUAUAUGUUACUUAUUUACUUCAAGUAGCAGAGGCCUAUGUAGAACUCUAGAAUAUGUGUCAUGAGUGGUAUUACUUCUGAGUGAAUAGUUGAGUAUGAUUUUAGUAAAUCACUUUCCUUAUGUAUAGGGAGUAGUGAGAGAACUCUAUGUGAGUAUAUGUGAGUAUAGCCACUGUGAUGUAAAGAAUAUACUUGUUGAGUUAUACUAGCUAUUGGUCGAAUUAUGUCAGCAAAUAAUUGAGAGUGGCUUAGCGACAGAUUGCUCGCUCAUGUACGAAGUGAGCGCCAAAAUGGAUUGCCGGGGGUAGUGUUAACGUCCAUAAGGUCAUCAGAUGCAGCAUAUGCCAGACAGCCUUCGGGUGGGUCUUUAUACCAAACAGCCUUCGGGUGGGUCUUUAUACCAGACAGCCUUCGGGUGGGUUUUUAUACCAGACAGCCUUCGGGUGGGUCUUCAUGCCAGACAGCCUUCAGGUGGGUCUUUAUGCCAGACCACCUUCAGGUGGGUCUUCGUGCUAGAUAGCCUUCGGGUGGGUCUUAUAAGAUUUAAACAUCGAGUAAUUAAAUGACAAGUGAACCUAUUGAUGAACAAACUAGAAAGUUGACAUCUUGACGUUAGUGACAUAGUGACAAUGUGUUACACUUUUACUGGUGUAGGAAAUAAUUCCAUGAUAUCAUCAAUUAUUUCAGCAAUAAUGAAUUAUCUUACAUACCAUUAGGCAUAAGGCUAGUUAAAUUGUCAACUAGCAUGAAUGAUAGAACUUAUCAGGAUAAACGAGUACCUACAACCUGUGGAUUGGUGCAUUUAUAUAUUGAUUUGGAGUAAAUAGCAUGAUUGAUUUAUUUCAAUACUUGUUGCAUUUACUUGUUUAUUUACUACUGUUUACCUUUACCACAGUUGACCUAGUGGUGUACUUCGCCACUCCCGGCGGCUUACCCACUGGGAACUAUUGUUUAAUAGUUCUCACACCCUCUUUGUUGUUGUUUUUACAGAGCCUUCCACAGCGGGAAAGGCUAGGGUUCUUAGCGAGGGGUCAGCGACUAGCUAGAGCUUCCUCGAUGCUAGAUAGAUGGGACCACUUCAGCUUCUCUAGUCUAGUACUGUGUUUUAUAGUGAGAUUAUGUAAAUUAUAGUUGUUCUUACCUGUUGUAAUAAGAUGUUGAGUUGUAUAAGUUUUAACUUUUAAGUUUUGCUCUGAUUACCUGGUUAGAAGUGUAUGCUUUUACUAUAUGGUUUGUAGACGCCUUGUGUAUACUUGAGUGGUGGUGUACACGGCGGGUCUGUGCACGCGACUGGUGAGCUUCCGCUGAAAUCCAGGGCGUGACAAUAAGCCUUCCCAGUAGAUGAUCCCGUCGGGAGGCAGCUUAGGGCCCGAUACUUAGGGAUUGCGUUGGUGAGUUAUAGUUAACCAAAUGGUUAACCAGAUGGAUUGGGUAUUGAUUAUUAGUAGCAUGCAUGCAUCAAUUUCAGAUAUUAUCUACUGUUUCUUUCAACUUUCUACAGGCAUUGUAGUAGUUACAUGUUAUAGCUGAUUACUAUCUACUCUCUUUCUUGUCUACAUAUGCCUGAAUAGACCUAGUGGGUGAGUCGGCGAGGUCGGCAGCCGAACCCACUGGAAACUUUCAGUAGUUCUCACCCCACUAACCAUACAGGUUCUAGUUCGUGUGAGGUGGUCGAGGAUCUUGACAGGGACAGCGCGUUAUAGAUAGCGACAUCCAUUGAGUAUAGUUGUACCUUAUUUAUUUCAUCUGUUUAUAGUUGAUGAAAAUAAAUGUAUAUUAUUCAUUUGAGAGAUGGCAAUGUAUAUAUUGGAAGAAUGAGUGUAAUAAUUAUAUAAGCUUUGUAUUUGAUUUAAAGUAAUCAAGAUAUAAUGUAUGAAUGCUUUAGUUAGUUUACUUAUACUUGCUUGUGUUGCUUGCCCUCGUGCAAGCCAUGUAUAUUGAAAUUUUUUCUGGGCAUUUCUUUAUACAUGUUUGUUGUUGUUGUUGAG